RNAcentral lists this ribosomal RNA (1286 nucleotides) under metagenome. RNAcentral's name for it is "bacterial SSU rRNA". It matches the Rfam family "Bacterial small subunit ribosomal RNA", at positions 243 to 1520 of the family's 1533-position model. The record is from RNAcentral.
AGCUUGCUGGUGAGGUAAAAGCUCACCAAGGCGACGAUCUGUAGCGGGUCUGAGAGGAUGAUCCGCCACACUGGAACUGAGACACGGUCCAGACUCCUACGGGAGGCAGCAGUGGGGAAUUUUGGACAAUGGGGGCAACCCUGAUCCAGCCAUGCCGCGUGAGUGAAGAAGGCCUUCGGGUUGUAAAGCUCUUUCAGCCGGGAAGAAAACGCAUGGGUUAAUACCCUGUGUGGAUGACGGUACCGGAAUAAGAAGCACCGGCUAACUACGUGCCAGCAGCCGCGGUAAUACGUAGGGUGCGAGCGUUAAUCGGAAUUACUGGGCGUAAAGCGUGCGCAGGCGGUUUUGUAAGACAGGCGUGAAAUCCCCGGGCUUAACCUGGGAACUGCGUUUGUGACUGCAAGGCUAGAGUACGGCAGAGGGGGGUGGAAUUCCACGUGUAGCAGUGAAAUGCGUAGAGAUGUGGAGGAACACCAAUGGCGAAGGCAGCCCCCUGGGUCGAUACUGACGCUCAUGCACGAAAGCGUGGGUAGCAAACAGGAUUAGAUACCCUGGUAGUCCACGCCCUAAACGAUGUCAACUAGGUGUUGGGAGGGUAAAACCUUUUAGUACCGGAGCUAACGCGUGAAGUUGACCGCCUGGGGAGUACGGCCGCAAGGUUAAAACUCAAAGGAAUUGACGGGGACCCGCACAAGCGGUGGAUGAUGUGGAUUAAUUCGAUGCAACGCGAAAAACCUUACCUACCCUUGACAUGCCAAGAACUUUCCAGAGAUGGAUUGGUGCCCGAAAGGGAACUUGGACACAGGUGCUGCAUGGCUGUCGUCAGCUCGUGUCGUGAGAUGUUGGGUUAAGUCCCGCAACGAGCGCAACCCUUGUCGUUAAUUGCCAUCAUUUAGUUGGGCACUUUAACGAGACUGCCGGUGACAAACCGGAGGAAGGUGGGGAUGACGUCAAGUCCUCAUGGCCCUUAUGGGUAGGGCUUCACACGUCAUACAAUGGUCGGUACAAAGGGUCGCCAAGCCGCGAGGUGGAGCCAAUCCCAGAAAGCCGAUCGUAGUCCGGAUCGCAGUCUGCAACUCGACUGCGUGAAGUCGGAAUCGCUAGUAAUCGUGGAUCAGAAUGUCACGGUGAAUACGUUCCCGGGUCUUGUACACACCGCCCGUCACACCAUGGGAGCGGGUUCCGCCAGAAGUAGGUAGCCUAACCGCAAGGAGGGCGCUUACCACGGCGGGGUUCGUGACUGGGGUGAAGUCGUAACAAGGUAGCCGUAGGGGAACCUGCGGCUG